CACGUAGGGGGCAAGCGUUGUUCGGAAUUACUGGGCGUAAAGGGCUCGUAGGCGGCCAACUAAGUCAGACGUGAAAUCCCUCGGCUUAACCGGGGAACUGCGUCUGAUACUGGUUGGCUUGAAUCCGGGAGAGGGAUGUGGAAUUCCAGGUGUAGCGGUGAAAUGCGUAGAUAUCUGGAGGAACACCGGUGGCGAAGGCGGCAUCCUGGACCGGUAUUGACGCUGAGGAGCGAAAGCCAGGGGAGCAAACGGG
This 253-nucleotide ribosomal RNA is filed under the name uncultured bacterium. RNAcentral describes it as "partial 16S ribosomal RNA". It matches the Rfam family "Bacterial small subunit ribosomal RNA", at positions 524 to 776 of the family's 1533-position model. The record is from RNAcentral.